Long non-coding RNA from Carya illinoinensis, 3592 nucleotides. RefSeq lists it as uncharacterized. NCBI's taxonomy places the organism in Eukaryota, Viridiplantae, Streptophyta, Magnoliopsida, Fagales, Juglandaceae. The record is from RefSeq and is a predicted model, not a curated record. The transcript is spliced from 3 exons.
UUUUUUUUUUUUUUUGUCUUAAAACCGGGAUCUCUAUGGAUAAGCACAAGCGGUUGGCCGUCUGAAAUGGAUCUGAAGGCAAAUAGAUUCAACUAUAAAUGCACCUUCUAUUCGAAAAGGCCGAGCGGAAUGCCAUGAGUACAGUCGAAAGGCGGGGAAGGAUUGUUCCGGCCAAGUUUAUGGAGCCGAAACAAGGUGUGGAUAAUUCUGAUUUGAACAGAAAGAUUGAAGAACCUUUAAUCUCUAGCGCGAAGCCAAAGAUUAACCGUAGGGGUUUAAGUUUGUGUCCCGCGGAGAUAUUCGCCGAAGCCAGACCUCGACAGCCAGAUAAGCCUGAAAUCACGCCGGUCCAACCAAUUCAAAGUCGUCGGAAAUCAUGCUUUUGGAAGCUUCAAGACAUUGACGAGUUGAAAGUGGCAAAAGAAAGGGGUAAGAGUCUGAGUGUUAGCCCAAAAUCGCGGAAAACUUUAUCGAAGUUUCAAGCUCCAAAGCAGGCCGCAACCACAGUUGGGUCUAAAGGGCCUGUCAAGAAAGAAAAUCGGUUUCUUGCAUCAAUUCAACCAAAAAAGCUGUUCAAGGAUGGAGAAAAGUUGUCGACGGCAAAGAAAUCGUCUCUCUCUCAACUUUUUCAUGGAGUCAGCCAUGACUUUUGCUUCUCAGCACUUAUUAAAUAGCAACUGACAAGAUUAAUAAAAGAGAAAUGCUUUUUACAGUCGGGCUGGGGAGACGCUGCGGAGUCGUGUCCGACGUGGCACCAGUUUUAUUGAAACGGUGCGUUUCGUCGGGUAGGGUUAACCAAGCGUUCCCUCCCUCAUGUUUCGUCUCGUGCUCUUUCAUUUCUUCCCUCCCUCAUUUUCACCAGAAUCACCAUCCCCCAUUUCCCCUUUCCCCUUCUCUUCGAAUGCGACUGCUUCGAUUCCAUCUCGUUCUCCAGCUUCGAUUCGACCAUUCCAUUUCUGAGGUUAUUUUUAGUGUAUAUUUCUCUGUUUUUGAGGUUAUUUGUGGUGUAUAUUUCUGAGAGAAUUUGAGAGAAAUAGUUCUCUUGGUUUGAUUUCACCAUCUCGAACCGUGGUACUCUUCAUCAAAAAAUUUCCCCAAUGUCUGUUUCUGAGGUUAUUUUGGGUGUAUAUUUCUAUUCUCUUCGAUUGAUUUCACCAUCUCCUUUCGUCGUACUCUUCAUCUGAUAAAAUCCAAGUCUGUUUUUGAGGUUAUCGUGGGUGUAUAUUUCUGUUGUCUUCGUUCGACACGGGCCAUCUCCUUCCGUCAUUCUCUUCAUCUAAGAAAAUCCAAGUCUGUUUUUGAGGUUAUUUUGGGUUGGGAUUUCUGUUCUUUUCGUUCAACACGGGCCAUCUCCUUCUGUCGUCCUCUUCAUCUGAGAAAAUCUAAGCCCUAAAAUUUCCCCAAUUUUUUCCCGAAAACCCUAACCCUCAAGUUUCCCCAAUUUUUUUACGCAAAAACCCUAACCCUAAUUUUCCCUUUACCCGAAAUGCCUAAAAUUUCUCCAAUUUUAUCCCCAAAACCCUAACCCUAAAAUUUUCCCUUUCCGAAAUGCCUAAAAUUUCCCCAAUUUUAUCCCCAAAACCCUAACCCUAAAAUUUUCCCUUUCCGAAAUGCCUAAAAUUUGCCCAAUUAAUACCCCAAAACCCUAACCCUAACAUUUCCCCAAUGUUUUUCCGAAACCCUAACCCUAAAAUUUUCCAUUUUCCCGAAGGCUCUAAAAUUUCUCCAUUUUUUAACUGGAAACCCUAACCCUAAAAUUUCCCCUUUUUCCUAAAACCUAACCCUAAAAUAUCCCGACAUGGUCUUAUUCUCGAGAUGACUGACUGAUUCGCCUAAAGUUUGGUUUGAUUGAGUGUGCAAGAACCCUGACUCCAAUCAGUUCUGUCUGGUUUGGAUUGCUACAUUAUUGUGUUUGAAUUUGAGAAAAUCAGUUCUAAUAUUUGUUACAUUAUUGUGUUUGAAUUUGAGGAAAUCAGUUCUAAUAUUUGUUACAUUAUUGUGUUUGAAUUUGAGGAAAUCAGUUCUAAUAUUUGUUUUGGAUUGCUACAUUAUUGUGAUUUAGUUUAAGUAAAUCAGUUAUGUUAUUUUGUUUGGAUUGCUACGUUAUUGUGGUUCAAGUUAAGUAAUGUAUUUUAACUUAAGUAAAUCAGGUAUGUUUUUUGGUUUGGAUUGCUACAUUAUUGUGUUUUAAUUUACGUAAAUCAGUUUGUGUGUUGGUUUGGAUUGAUACAUUAUUGUGUAUUAAUUUAAGUAAAUCAGUUUUAAUUUAAUUAAAUCAGUUCUAUUUUUUUAUUUGCAUUAUUGUGUAUUAAUAUCGAGGUGCUUUAAUGGUAGCUUUAUCAAGUUGGUUGACGGUGGCUAUUGUUACUCCAUGCUAUUUAUAUUGAGGAAAAGUGGUUCUGUUUUCUAGUGUAGAAGAUGUACAUUAUUGUGUAUUCAUUUAAUGAAGCAUCUAAUGGUGGCUUUGUGAAACUGGUUGAUGGUUGCUAUUGUUACUCCAUGCUGUUAGAAUUCUCUUAAAUUAAUUCUGUUUUUUAAUUUGGAAGAGGUACAUUAUUGUGUAUUCAUUUAACGAAGCAUAUAAUGGUGGCUUUGUGAAACUGGUUGAUGGUUGCUAUUGUUACUCCAUGCUGUUAGAAUUGAAGUAAAUCAAUUCUGUUUUUUAAUUUGGAAGAGGUACAUUAUUGUGUAUUCAUUUAAUGAAGCAUAUAAUGGUGGCUUUGUGAAACUGGUUGAUGGUUGCUAUUGUUACUCUAUGCUGUUCGAAUUGAAGUAAAUCAAUUCUGUUUUUUGAUUUGGAAGAGGUACAUUAUUGUGUAUUCAUUUAAUGAAGCAUAUAACUUUAUCUUUGCCUUAUUGGUUGAUGUUAGCUAUUGUAAAAUGUUUUUAUUUUUUUCUGCUGUUUAGAUUAUUGUAUUGUGAAUCUGGUUUUGGUUAGAAUGUCAUCAUCAUCAAUGUCUUCUGCAUCUGUUGAUAAUCGUACUUUGAGUACACCAGUGUGCUUCUGUGAGGUGGAAGCCACACUGAAAUACUCAAAUACUAGAAGAAAUCCUGGCCGGCCUUUUUUAGGAUGUUGAAAGUACAACACUGAGGGACUACCGUACUGCAAAUUUUUCAAGUGGGCAGAUAGUGAAGACAUAGAACAAGACCUUCUGAAAAGGAAAAAUGAUUUGCUAAGGAAAGAGGCAGACCUGGUCAAGAUGCUCGAGGAUAUUGAGAAAAGGGAGAUUCAGCUCCGAAAGAAAGCGGAUGAGAUCGAGAAGAAGGAGAUUUUGCUGGCUAGCCUAAAUGAGGAGAUUAUGAAAAAAGAGUGGAUGCUUCUUCAGCAACAAGCAGAAAUCAGGCGCUCCCGCACACUAUUCAGGUUGUUUUGGGCUGUAGUCAUUUUUUUGAUUUGUUACAUACUAGUAUGUAAGUGAUGUUGGAUUGUAUGUUGGAUUGUACUAAGGUUAUUGAGAAAAAUGUGUAAUUGCAUUUACUGUUAAGUAAGUCAGAAGUAGAUGGUAGAAUGGCAUAAAUUGUAUUUUGGUCAAUUUGAACAGGAUAUUGGUGUAAUUGUAUGACACCAAUUUGAACCUAUGUGAUACGGAAU